UGGGGAAUUUUGGACAAUGGGCGAAAGCCUGAUCCAGCAAUGCCGCGUGUGUGAAGAAGGCCUUCGGGUUGUAAAGCACUUUUGUCCGGAAAGAAAUCCUUGGCUCUAAUACAGUCGGGGGAUGACGGUACCGGAAGAAUAAGCACCGGCUAACUACGUGCCAGCAGCCGCGGUAAUACGUAGGGUGCAAGCGUUAAUCGGAAUUACUGGGCGUAAAGCGUGCGCAGGCGGUUUGCUAAGACCGAUGUGAAAUCCCCGGGCUCAACCUGGGAACUGCAUUGGUGACUGGCAGGCUAGAGUAUGGCAGAGGGGGGUAGAAUUCCACGUGUAGCAGUGAAAUGCGUAGAGAUGUGGAGGAAUACCGAUGGCGAAGGCAGCCCCCCUGGGCCAAUACUGACGCUCAUGCACGAAAGCGUGAGGAGCAAACAGGAUUAGAUACCCUGGUAGUCCACGCCCUAAACGAUGUCAACUAGUUGUUGGGGAUUCAUUUUCCUUAGUAACGUAGCUAACGCGUGAAGUUGACCGCCUGGGGAGUACGGUCGCAAGAUUAAAACUCAAAUGAAUUGACGGGGUCAUAGCUGUUUCCU
Molecule: ribosomal RNA, 587 nt
Filed under: uncultured bacterium
Lineage: Bacteria
Description: partial 16S ribosomal RNA
Rfam family: Bacterial small subunit ribosomal RNA
Source: RNAcentral